AUUGAACGCUGGCGGCAGGCCUAACACAUGCAAGUCGAACGGUAGCACAGAGAGCUUGCUCUCGGGUGACGAGUGGCGGACGGGUGAGUAAUGUCUGGGAAACUGCCCGAUGGAGGGGGAUAACUACUGGAAACGGUAGCUAAUACCGCAUAACGUCGCAAGACCAAAGAGGGGGACCUUCGGGCCUCUUGCCAUCGGAUGUGCCCAGAUGGGAUUAGCUUGUAGGUGAGGUAACGGCUCACCUAGGCGACGAUCCCUAGCUGGUCUGAGAGGAUGACCAGCCACACUGGAACUGAGACACGGUCCAGACUCCUACGGGAGGCAGCAGUGGGGAAUAUUGCACAAUGGGCGCAAGCCUGAUGCAGCCAUGCCGCGUGUAUGAAGAAGGCCUUCGGGUUGUAAAGUACUUUCAGCGGGGAGGAAGGGAGUGAGGUUAAUAACCUCAUUCAUUGACGUUACCCGCAGAGGAAGCACCGGCUAACUCCGUGCCAGCAGCCGCGGUAAUACGGAGGGUGCGAGCGUUAAUCGGAAUUACUGGGCGUAAAGCGCACGCAGGCGGUCUGUCAAGUCGGAUGUGAAAUCCCCGGGCUCAACCUGGGAACUGCAUUCGAAACUGGCAGGCUGGAGUCUUGUAGAGGGGGGUAGAAUUCCAGGUGUAGCGGUGAAAUGCGUAGAGAUCUGGAGGAAUACCGGUGGCGAAGGCGGCCCCCUGGACAAAGACUGACGCUCAGGUGCGAAAGCGUGGGGAGCAAACAGGAUUAGAUACCCUGGUAGUCCACGCUGUAAACGAUGUCGACUUGGAGGUUGUUCCCUUGAGGAGUGGCUUCCGGAGCUAACGCGUUAAGUCGACCGCCUGGGGAGUACGGCCGCAAGGUUAAAACUCAAAUGAAUUGACGGGGGCCCGCACAAGCGGUGGAGCAUGUGGUUUAAUUCGAUGCAACGCGAAGAACCUUACCUACUCUUGACAUCCAGAGAACUUAGCAGAGAUGCUUUGGUGCCUUCGGGAACUCUGAGACAGGUGCUGCAUGGCUGUCGUCAGCUCGUGUUGUGAAAUGUUGGGUUAAGUCCCGCAACGAGCGCAACCCUUAUCCUUUGUUGCCAGCGAUUCGGUCGGGAACUCAAAGGAGACUGCCAGUGAUAAACUGGAGGAAGGUGGGGAUGACGUCAAGUCAUCAUGGCCCUUACGAGUAGGGCUACACACGUGCUACAAUGGCAUAUACAAAGAGAAGCGACCUCGCGAGAGCAAGCGGACCUCAUAAAGUAUGUCGUAGUCCGGAUUGGAGUCUGCAACUCGACUCCAUGAAGUCGGAAUCGCUAGUAAUCGUGGAUCAGAAUGCCACGGUGAAUACGUUCCCGGGCCU
Molecule: ribosomal RNA, 1361 nt
Filed under: uncultured bacterium
Lineage: Bacteria
Description: bacterial SSU rRNA
Rfam family: Bacterial small subunit ribosomal RNA
Source: RNAcentral